This is an RNA transcript of Lynx canadensis (Canada lynx), 3801 nucleotides long. It is a transcript of the gene named protein CutA homolog, with no coding region annotated. The record is from RefSeq and is a predicted model, not a curated record. Lineage: Eukaryota; Metazoa; Chordata; Mammalia; Carnivora; Felidae. The transcript has 4 exons.
CCUUCCAGAGCGAAGGCGCGUCAAAUGCCCGGCAAGCGGAGUGGUGACGAUGAGGACCCACAGAAGCUUAAAUGGCCUCGCGGGGCGGCCUCUGGGCCCCAAAGCCACAGGCUGUCGGCUGCGGUGGGGGCGGCGGCACGAGGCCACCCCAGGCGGAGCCGAGGCGAUUGGGCAUAUUGCUCCCUGGCCAGACACGAAUCCAGAGGAGGUGGGAGGGGUCAUACUUCUGGAAGACAAGAUGAAAUUCGCGAGAAGCUGGAAGAAGGCGUGAGUAAAACCGACGUGGGGCGCCUGUUGGGCGUCAACGAAUAGACCGUGCGCACCAUUAGGAGAAACGCGAAGGCCAUCAGGGCCGGCAUGGAUACUGUGUCGCCUCUCGCUCCAAGGUGCGGUGCAUUCCCCGGCACGUAAACAUCGAGAAGAUGGAGACGGAGUUAACCUUUUUGGGUGGAGGCCCAGACCAUAGGGGGGCGGCCUCUGACGCUGAAGGCCGUCUGCAGCCAGGCCAAACGCAUUUACAAGCAGCGGGUGGAAACGACUGGGAAGGGCAGCUCGGAUAAGUUUCAUGGGAGCAAGGGAUGGUUUGAGAAGUUUAGAAAUCGCCACAGUCUGCGAAAUUCGAGGUCGAUGGGAGGGGAAGAAGCGCUGACUGCCCAGUCGGCAUCCAAGUAUGUCCAAACAACUCCAGAGGCUGAUCAGAGCUAUGUGCCUCAACGGGUCUUCGAUGCCGAGGAGAUGAGCCAGUUUUUUGGCAGUGCAUGCCUCCACGUACUUUUAGGGAAAGAGACAAAAAUCCGGAAAGCUUAGAGGAAGCUAAGGACAGGAUUUCCCUCAUUUUUUGGUGCCAGUGCCGCCGGUGACCAAAUGAUAAAACCAUUGCUGCUUUGUAAAGACCCUAAUCCCACAUGUCUUUUGGAAAAAAGAUAAAACCGCCUUCCUGUAUUCUGGAGUUCACACCCCAAACCGCUGCCCUCUUUUUGGAUUGGUUUCAUAAUUGUUUUAUUCAUCAGGCUGGGAGUUAUUUAAUAGAAAAAAAAAAAUCUUGAGUUCAGAGUGUUGCUAAUUUUGGACAGAGGUCCCAAUCGCCCAGACUCAUUUUUGGUUGCUCAUCUUAAUGUUGAUACUGUGUUUCUCCCCCUGGAAGGCACUAGCUGUCUUCAGCCCUUGGAUCAGGGUAUAAUUGAAGCAUUCAGGAGGUAUUACACCAAGCGUAUGUUUGACCACUUUGUUGACUGUAUUGAAAAAAAACCCUUGUCUUACUUUGAGAGGAACAUGGCAACAGUACAACAUUGCUGAUGCUUUGGUAGUGAUAAAAGAGUCAAUGGAUGAUAUAAGACCAGCUGCUCUUAAUAAAGCCUGGUGGAAACUUUUGGAUGAUGUUGUGAAUGAUUAUGCAUGUUUCCCUAGAGCUAAUGAAGAAGUUGCAAAAAUCAUGGAGUCUGCAACACGGAUGGACUUUAACUUCAUUGAUAUCGAACGGGGAAAUUAAUGAGGUGCUCAAGUUUCAAGCUUUGUUCAUAACCGAAAGAGAGUCUAUAUCAAUGAAUAUGGAAGAAGACAAGACCCUGGAACUAGAGGUAAAGAUGAAUCUAAGGAAACUGAAUGCUUUCUUAUGCCAGGCCUCAGACCUCAUUGAUGCUGCAAAGGAUAGGGAUCCUUUCCCGUAUCGAAGUUUGGCCUUUAAAAAAGACUUCAAUAAAUUGUUAUAUACCUGUAAAGAGGUGCAAGAGAACCUUCAAAAUAAAGCAAAGGAGUUGAACAAAGAAGACACAAAGAGGAGGUAGUGUGGGUGUAGAAGAUGGAUACAAAAUCUGAGUCUGAAGGGGAGUCUGAAUCUGAAUCCCAAAAGGAGGAGAAGGGUAGAGACAGAGAAAGAGGAUAAGAAGCCUCCAGAAGAAGAUCCUGGACCCUCAGGCGUUGGCGCUGAGACUUACUGUAUCUGAAGACUCUGCCGAAGCCAUAAAUGCAGAAUUGGAUUUUUGGAAUCUAACCUUAGAAUUGAAUCUGGAGAGAGUAGAAGUGCCUGAGUUGAAGAAGUGAAUCCAGAGGCGUUUUCUUCCAAAUGAUGAUUCAUGUCUUGCCAUUCUUCCUCUCUUGUUCCAACAUCACUUUCAUCAUGACCAUGCUUAUCAUCAGCCACACAUCUAUAUUGUUUCAUCAUUCCACAAACAUUUACUGAGCAUAAGCUAUGUGGGGUCCCAUGCUAAACUUGGGGACAUGAUCUCAGGAAGCCAUCUCAGGAUCUAAGAUCCUGGCAGCUUCUUUCCUGUCCUAUCCAGUGCUCAGGACCCUUAGCCUGCAGCUCCAUUCAGCUAUCACCGGCAGCUACGUAUCCGGCACUUACUCCGUCGUCUUUGUCAACUGUCCCAACGAGCAGAUUGCCAGAGAUAUUGCCAGGUCUCGUGAAGAGGCUCGGGUGCUGCCCCAGGAGGCUGGGGGAGCUACCGGGAUGCUCCACGGUGGCCACUUUGGGCUCCCUCUCUUGCUUCUGACAACCCUGUGUGUCCACUACGCAGCUGUCAGCUUGGGGUGAUAAGAGGACCACGGCUGAAUGAACCCCCCCCACCCAUGGAUCCUGCUCCUGGGCCUGAAAAUGUACUUUUGGAAUGGAGAAAUAGAAGAAGCCACUGAAAUCCUGUUGCUAAUAAAGACAAAGACUUCCAAGGUCCGCAUGCUGUUCAGCUAUAUCAGGUAAUGCUGGUGUGUCUUUUCAGCCAGGGAUGUCCUGGGAACUAAGUGAAUGAGCUUGAAAAGCAAGAGACCUAGAGCCUAGUCACCAACCUCUCAUAUGACCCUGGGCAUGUCCCUGUCCCUCAGAUUCUCCAGCUAUAAAAUGAGAGGCUAGAGUGAGUGAAUGGAGACAGUAGUUCUCAAGAUUUUGGUCUUCGGAUCCCAGGGGAGCUUAAGGUUAUGUUAAAGUUUAUUGCAUUAGAAAGUAAAACUACGAAAUUAAAAAAAUGUUUUAGUUCAUUUAAAAUAAUAACAAUACAACUGUUCUAUAUAAACAUAAGUAAUACAUUUUUAUGGGAAGGAACCAUAUUUUCCAAGAAACAAAGUGAGAAAAAUGGCAUCAUGUUAUAUUUUGGCAACAUCUGGCUUGUUGAGAAGGCUGCGUCUCCUCAGAAAACAUACUCCCUCUUAAGUACUGGGACACUUUUACGCUCAUGAUGGUAAACUCAAACUCUCAAACUUCUAAUUUUUGCUUGAAAACAUGAAUUUUUUUCCUCAACAAAUGGUAUCAGUUGUCUUCAUUUGAGUGAUUGGCUCACUUUGUUCACAUUAGAGAAAAACGUCUGCCUAAUGCUCAAACCACAGUAACCAGCAUUUGUAAACAUGACAGACAAAUUAUGGUCACUCAGGCUUGAAAUUAAAAAUGGUGUUCCAUGAAAAAAAGUGCAGUUUGUUUAGUUUGGCUUGUGGCUUCAAUGGGCAGACAGGUUUAAGACAACAUUGAACUUCAGUAUCCGGCAGAAGUGCUUUAAUGUGCACUUUCCAUUUCGUCAUUAAUGAGACAGGGACUCCAGGGCUGAAGUGCAAUAGCAAUAGCGAUCUUCGCUGUUUUAUCGAGGAUGUUCUUAAGUGAACGUGACUUUUCUGAAGCCCGAGCGUGCGGUGGAGAAGAGCACCGUGAGGCUCAUACACUGUGGUGCCACUGCCUUGCCGCGUGCUGAGGCGCCAGCAGUCUUACUCGGCAUUGUUUUGCACCAGCAGUGCAGGGAUCAACACAGUAAGAAGAUUAAUAGAAAAUUAGUAUUUUUCGGGGCGCCUGCGUGGCUCCGUUGGUUAAGCAGCCAACUUCGG